CUACGGGAGGCAGCAGUGGGGAAUAUUGCACAAUGGGGGAAACCCUGAUGCAGCAACGCCGCGUGAGUGAUGAAGGUUUUCGGAUCGUAAAACUCUGUCUUUGGGGACGAUAAUGACGGUACCCAAGGAGGAAGCCACGGCUAACUACGUGCCAGCAGCCGCGGUAAUGAGUAU
This 174-nucleotide ribosomal RNA is filed under the name Clostridium sp. C10S10. RNAcentral's name for it is "partial 16S ribosomal RNA". It matches the Rfam family "Bacterial small subunit ribosomal RNA", at positions 339 to 530 of the family's 1533-position model. The record is from RNAcentral. Lineage: Bacteria; Bacillati; Bacillota; Clostridia; Eubacteriales; Clostridiaceae.